AGAGUUUGAUCCUGGCUCAGGAUGAACGCUGGCGGCGUGCUUAACCCAUCCAAGUCGAACGGGAUCCAUCAAGCUUGCUUGGUGGUGAGAGUGGCGAACGGGUGAGUAAUGCGUGACCGACCUGCCCCAUACACCGGAAUAGCUCCUGGAAACGGGUGGUAAUGCCGGAUGCUCCAGUUGAUCGCAUGGUCUUCUGGGAAAGCUUUCGCGGUAUGGGAUGGGGUCGCGUCCUAUCAGCUUGACGGCGGGGUAACGGCCCACCGUGGCUUCGACGGGUAGCCGGCCUGAGAGGGCGACCGGCCACAUUGGGACUGAGAUACGGCCCAGACUCCUACGGGAGGCAGCAGUGGGGAAUAUUGCACAAUGGGCGCAAGCCUGAUGCAGCGACGCCGCGUGAGGGAUGGAGGCCUUCGGGUUGUAAACCUCUUUUAUCGGGGAGCAAGCGAGAGUGAGUUUACCCGUUGAAUAAGCACCGGCUAACUAC
This 484-nucleotide ribosomal RNA is filed under the name Bifidobacterium longum. Its description in RNAcentral is "bacterial SSU rRNA". It matches the Rfam family "Bacterial small subunit ribosomal RNA", at positions 8 to 504 of the family's 1533-position model. The record is from RNAcentral. Lineage: Bacteria; Bacillati; Actinomycetota; Actinomycetes; Bifidobacteriales; Bifidobacteriaceae.